Molecule: ribosomal RNA, 600 nt
Filed under: uncultured bacterium
Lineage: Bacteria
Description: partial 16S ribosomal RNA
Rfam family: Bacterial small subunit ribosomal RNA
Source: RNAcentral
UGGGGAAUUUUGGACAAUGGGCGAAAGCCUGAUCCAGCAAUGCCGCGUGUGUGAAGAAGGCCUUCGGGUUGUAAAGCGCAUUGCUUUCGGAAUCGGAAAGUCAAUUGCCUUGUCUAAUAUAGCGGGGGAUGACGGUACCGGAAGAAUAAGCGCCGGCUAACUACGUGCCAGCAGCCGCGGUAAUACGUAGGGUGCAGCAGCUGAUUCAUGAUCGGAAUUACUGGGGCGUAAAGCGUGCGCAGGCGGUUUGCUAAGACCGAUGUGAAAUCCCCGGGCUCAACCUGGGAACUGCAUUGGUGACUGGCAGGCUAGAGUAUGGCAGAGGGGGGUAGAAUUCCACGUGUAGCAGUGAAAUGCGUAGAGAUGUGGAGGAAUACCGAUGGCGAAGGCAGCCCCCUGGGCCAAUACUGACGCUCAUGCACGAAAGCGUGGGGAGCAAACAGGAUUAGAUACCCUGGUAGUCCACGCCCUAAACGAUGUCAACUAGUUGUUGGGGAUUCAUUUCCUUAGUAACGUAGCUAACGCGUGAAGUUGACCGCCUGGGGAGUACGGUCGCAAGAUUAAAACUCAAAGGAAUUGACGGGGUCAUAGCUGUUUCCU